GGAGAGAUGGCCGAGCGGUUGAUGGCGCUGGUCUUGAAAACCAGUGAUGCUGAAAGGCACCGGGGGUUCGAAUCCCUCUCUCUCCGCCA
RNAcentral lists this transfer RNA (89 nucleotides) under Clostridiales bacterium. RNAcentral describes it as "tRNA-Ser". It matches the Rfam family "tRNA". Rfam says of the family: Transfer RNA (tRNA) molecules are approximately 80 nucleotides in length. Their secondary structure includes four short double-helical elements and three loops (D, anti-codon, and T loops). RNAcentral also lists the same sequence under 3 other names. The record is from RNAcentral. Lineage: Bacteria; Bacillati; Bacillota; Clostridia; Eubacteriales.